UGUGCACCACCCUCUCACCCAAACGAAGGCAGCUGGCCCUGAAGUUCUCUGAGCUUGAGGACAAAAAAAGACCUCUGUGAGUUGUCAGGCUCUGUUACAGUCUGGGUCAGCAGACAAGAGUCCCAGGGCUCGGCCGUCUUCUCUAGGAGAGAAAAUAUUCGUGCCAUAUAGCGUGUUCUAAGAGUUCUCACCAGAAGCCCAGAAAGUUCUGUAUUUACUCAGCAUUCAAGGGAAAACAGACCCUGUAUUUUUGGGAUUCCUGAAAGGUGACCAGGUGAGAGCAAAGCCCAACUUCCUGGGGAAAAGCUCUCAGCGCAGUGAAUGCUACAUUCGGAGGUAGGAAGGCUCUGGAUGUGAGUCUUCAUGUUUGUUUUUUGUUUUUUGUUUUUUUUUCUCUAAAAUUACCAAAAAAGAGGAAUAUCCACAGAAGCAGAAGUAGGAAUGGGGAAGGAGGGGACAAGUUUAGACCAAGCUCUUCUGUGACCUCACUUCUGCUUUUGAAGUCCCACAGCUCUAUAAGGCCAGGGUCAAAGGAACCUAAUGUGAAAAUGUUUCAGUCUUUUGAUGAAGUAUUCCAGAACACAGAACUCCUUAUCAUACAGAACAUCAAGUUCCUUUAAGAUAUGGGUUGCUAUCUCCAAUUCAUUUUGGGAAGAGGCUACCUUCAUCCCCAAACAGGAACUGCUGCAAGGCCCGCAGCAGCCAUGGGUGAGUGGCUCUGGAGAUGGGGUAAGUGGCCUACGCACCCCAGAGGAACAGCUGGCAGCCUAGUCUUCGGGCAGCAGCUCCACUCAGCCCUGGGGAAUGACAGAUACAGGUGUGUUCCCUCAGGUGCAUAUGUGCAUGUGCUUGUGUGCAACUUCCUCCUCUGCUCUCAUUCCUGCAAGGUGCAUUCUCAGAAGGCUGUUACUCCACAGUCACUACGGUUGUGAAGCGGAACCAGACAACUUCCCAUUUUCGAGGUUCUACAAUUGGCAAUAUGGGAAAAUCUUACCCCAUUACCACCCAACUCGAUUCUUUCAAUGCAAGCUUGUCUAACCCAUAGCCUGCAGGCCACAUGUGACCCAGGAUGACUUUGGAUGUGGCCCAGUGCAAAUUCGUAAACUUUCUUAAAAUAUUAUAAGAUUGUUUUGCAAUACAUCAGUAUCGUUAGCGUUAGUGUAUUUUAUAUGUGGCCCAAGACAAUUCUUCUUCUGAUGUGGCCGAGGGAAGCCAAAAGAUUGGAUACUCCUGCGUAAGGGGGAAAUGCAUGUUUAUAGUCAUAUAUAUAUAUUUUUUUUUUCUAAUUUUUUUUUUGCACCCAGUGCAGUGGCACAAUCAUA
This 1322-nucleotide long non-coding RNA is filed under the name Homo sapiens (human). Its description in RNAcentral is "HSALNT0299257". The record is from RNAcentral. Lineage: Eukaryota; Metazoa; Chordata; Mammalia; Primates; Hominidae.